GUGAAGGUGGCUCAGUGGUAGAGUGCUUGCCUCACAUGCAGGGGCCCUGGGUUCAAUUCCUCAGCAACACA
Molecule: transfer RNA, 71 nt
Filed under: Dipodomys ordii (Ord's kangaroo rat)
Lineage: Eukaryota; Metazoa; Chordata; Mammalia; Rodentia; Heteromyidae
Rfam family: tRNA
About the family: Transfer RNA (tRNA) molecules are approximately 80 nucleotides in length. Their secondary structure includes four short double-helical elements and three loops (D, anti-codon, and T loops).
Source: Rfam by way of RNAcentral